GGACCCGACCGCUAUCGGGGUGGGGCUAAGCCAUGCAAGUCAGGGCCCCGGGCCACGGCGGGGCCCGGCGGACGGCUCAGUAGCACGUGGCUAACCUACCCUCGGGACGAGGAUAUCCCCGGGAAACUGGGGGUAAUCCUCGAUAGGUGCAGGUUCCUGGAAUGGGCCUGCGCCGAAAGGGGUGCGGCGCCAUGCCCGCCGGCACCCGCNCGAGGAUGGGGCUGCGCCCCAUCAUGGUAGUUGGCGGGGUAACGGCCCGCCAAGCCGAAGACGGGUGGGGGCCGUGAGAGCGGGAGCCCCGAGAUGGGCACUGAGACAAGGGCCCAGGCCCUACGGGGCGCAGCAGGCGCGAAACCUCCGCAAUGCGGGCAACCGCGACGGGGCCACCCCGAGUGCCGCCCGAAGAGGGCGGCUUUUCCCCGGUCUAAACAGCCGGGGGNAUAAG
Molecule: ribosomal RNA, 445 nt
Filed under: uncultured crenarchaeote
Lineage: Archaea; Thermoproteati; Thermoproteota
Description: bacterial SSU rRNA
Rfam family: Archaeal small subunit ribosomal RNA
Source: RNAcentral